ACUCCUACGGGAGGCAGCAGUGGGGAAUUUUGGACAAUGGGCGCAAGCCUGAUCCAGCAAUGCCGCGUGAGUGAAGAAGGCCUUCGGGUUGUAAAGCUCUUUUGUCAGGGAAGAAACGGUAGGGGCUAAUAUCCUUUGCUAAUGACGGUACCUGAAGAAUAAGCACCGGCUAACUACGUGCCAGCAGCCGCGGUAAUACGUAGGGUGCAAGCGUUAAUCGGAAUUACUGGGCGUAAAGCGUGCGCAGGCGGUUUUGUAAGUCUGUCGUGAAAGGCCCGGGCUCAACCUGGGAAUUGCGAUGGAGACUGCAAGGCUUGAAUCUGGCAGAGGGGGGUAGAAUUCCACGUGUAGCAGUGAAAUGCGUAGAGAUGUGGAGGAACACCGAUGGCGAAGGCAGCCCCCUGGGUCAAGAUUGACGCUCAUGCACGAAAGCGUGGGGAGCAAACAGGAUUAGAUACCCUGGUAGUCCACGCCCUAAACGAUGUCUACUAGUUGUCGGGUUUUAAUUAACUUGGUAACGCAGCUAACGCGUGAAGUAGACCGCCUGGGGAGUACGGUCGCAAAAUUAAAACUCAAAGGAAUUGACGGGGACCCCCACAAGCGGUGGAGCAUGUGG
RNAcentral lists this ribosomal RNA (616 nucleotides) under uncultured bacterium. RNAcentral describes it as "bacterial SSU rRNA". It matches the Rfam family "Bacterial small subunit ribosomal RNA", at positions 335 to 944 of the family's 1533-position model. The record is from RNAcentral.